CGAGAAGCGAACCUGCGAAGGCAAGCGGAUCUCUUAAAGCCGUUCUCAGUUCGGACUGUAGGCUGCAACUCGCCUACACGAAGCUGGAAUCGCUAGUAAUCGCGAAUCAGAAUGUCGCGGUGAAUACGUUCCCGGGUCUUGUACACACCGCCCGUCACACCAUGGGAGUUGGGAAUGCCCGAAGCCGGUGACCUAACCGAAAGGGAGGAGCCGUCGAAGGCAGGUCUGAUAACUGGGGUGAAGUCGUAACAAGGUAUC
Molecule: ribosomal RNA, 258 nt
Filed under: uncultured bacterium
Lineage: Bacteria
Description: partial 16S ribosomal RNA
Rfam family: Bacterial small subunit ribosomal RNA
Source: RNAcentral